AUGCUGCUUCGUGCAUGUGGUUUGUACAUCUGUUAUGGUCGACGAACUAACCUCUGUUCAGCUUCUCUACUAGCUAUCUCUUAUUGUUCAAUAUUUUCAGUAUCGUCUAGGCUGGGAGAGGUCAAGAUCAACCUGGACGGCACUGGUGUUGCAAACUACAGCACACGGAUAUCGUUCUUGGAUUACAUCCUUGAUUGUAACCAAAGUCUAUGGAUCUGUCAAAGGGUCUUGCUGCAUAUGGUCAUUAUUGUAUUGCGUGGAAGGAGCGAAUGGAGAGCUAUGAGCAGAAUCACAGGAGAUGCUGCACAAUAUGAGGAAUGA
RNAcentral lists this ribosomal RNA (321 nucleotides) under Triticum aestivum (bread wheat). RNAcentral's name for it is "partial small subunit ribosomal RNA". Lineage: Eukaryota; Viridiplantae; Streptophyta; Magnoliopsida; Poales; Poaceae. The record is from RNAcentral.